UAGGGAAUCUUCCACAAUGGGCGCAAGCCUGAUGGAGCAACACCGCGUGAGUGAAGAAGGGUUUCGGCUCGUAAAGCUCUGUUGUUAGAGAAGAACAAGGGUGAGAGUAACUGUUCACCCCUUGACGGUAUCUAACCAGAAAGCCACGGCUAACUACGUGCCAG
RNAcentral lists this ribosomal RNA (164 nucleotides) under uncultured bacterium. RNAcentral's name for it is "partial 16S ribosomal RNA". It matches the Rfam family "Bacterial small subunit ribosomal RNA", at positions 355 to 511 of the family's 1533-position model. The record is from RNAcentral.